GGCUUGUGUGCGUCCUGCGAGAUGUGCAUGGCAUGUGGGUGAUGGUGGUGGGCCGGUUGGAUCGUUGCUCCUUCUCUAGUCAUCGCUGCCAGCACUCAGGCCCCGUCCUCAUCACCGUGGACCCCUGGGAACGGUCCAGUUGUCUCGUGCUGGAGGCUGGUCAUCAGUUCUGUCCCCACCGACAUGACUCUGGCCCCACCAACCCUCCAGUCACCAGGCCUGGGCAGGCUGCCCCUCUCAGCAGUGAGCAAAGGCCACUGAGCUGCCCUCCCUCAGACCUUCCGUGGCCUCGUCCUGAGAUAGGAUGGGGUCCGGGAGGCUCCUCUGCCUUUGCGUCUGGAGACGUAUAGUUCUGACAAGCAGGCGUGCAAGUUCACUCCGUCCUAGGAUUCCCAAAUGUAAAGAAAGUUUCCACUGGACACAGACCCCAGGGCAGAGGUGAUUAGACAUGAGGGGACUCUCCACCACCCAUCCCAAGGACUGCCAUGCCUGUUGCCCUUUUUUGUUGUUGCUGUUCUUUCUUUAGUUAGGAUUAUAGUUGCUUUACAAUGUUGUUAGUUUCUGCUGUACCAGGAAUUGAACCAGCUAAUUGUGCAUACAAAUGCCCUGCCUCUUGGACCUCCCUCCUACCACCCCCACCCUCCAUUCCACUCGUCUAGGUCAUCACAGAUCGCUGGUGCUCACUGGCUUCCCAUUGGGGAUCUAUUUUGCACGUGGUAGUGUAUAUGUGUGUGUGUGUGUGUAUCUGUCCUAAUCAGCCCUAAUCAGUCAGAGCUUUCAGCUUCACUGUGGACCCGGCUGAGCAUCGAGGGCACUUCGAGGGGACAGGACAGUGGGGCCCACCAUGGGCUUUUCGCCAGUCUCUCAGGGCUGCGCCAGUCGGCCCUGCUACCCAGCCCCAAGCUCGAGAAAGUCCUUGCAUUUUCUCAGGUUUUCUUUGAAGAUGUUUCCUGCUGCUAAGUCACUUCAGUCGUGUCCGACUCUGUGCGAUAGAUGGCAGCCCACCAGGCUCCCCCAUCCCUGGGAGUCUCCAGGCAAGAACACUGGAGUGGGUUGCCAUUUCCUUCUCCAAUGCAUCAAAGUGAAAAGUGAAAGUGAAGUCGCUCAGUCGUGUCUGACUCUUCGCGACCACAUGGACUGCAGCCUACCAGGCUCCUCCAUCCAUGGGAUUUUCCAGGUAAGAGUACUGGAGUGGGGGUGCCAUUGCCCUGUUUGAUAAGCU
RNAcentral lists this long non-coding RNA (1222 nucleotides) under Capra hircus (goat). RNAcentral describes it as "lncRNA (ENSCHIG00000000616.1)". The record is from RNAcentral. Lineage: Eukaryota; Metazoa; Chordata; Mammalia; Artiodactyla; Bovidae.